RNAcentral lists this ribosomal RNA (501 nucleotides) under uncultured bacterium. RNAcentral's name for it is "partial 16S ribosomal RNA". It matches the Rfam family "Bacterial small subunit ribosomal RNA", at positions 30 to 523 of the family's 1533-position model. The record is from RNAcentral.
AUUGAACGCUGGCGGCAGGCUUAACACAUGCAAGUCGAGCGGGGGAAGGUAGCUUGCUACCGGACCUAGCGGCGGACGGGUGAGUAAUGCUUAGGAAUCUGCCUAUUAGUGGGGGACAACAUCUCGAAAGGGAUGCUAAUACCGCAUACGUCCUACGGGAGAAAGCAGGGGAUCUUCGGACCUUGCGCUAAUAGAUGAGCCUAAGUCGGAUUAGCUAGUUGGUGGGGUAAAGGCCUGCCAAGGCGACGAGCUGAAGCGGGUCUGAGAGGAUGAUCCGCAAGACUGGGGCUGAGACACGGCCCAGAAUCCUACGGGAGGCAGCAGUGGGGGAUAUUGGACAAUGGGGGGAACCCUGAUCCAGCCAAGCCGCGUGUGUGAAGAAGGCCUUAUGGUUGUAAAGCACUUUAAGCGAGGAGGAGGCUACUCUAGUUAAUACCUAGGGAUAGUGGACGUUACUCGCAGAAUAAGCACCGGCUAACUCUGUGCCAGCAGCCGCGGUAA